RNAcentral lists this ribosomal RNA (515 nucleotides) under uncultured bacterium. RNAcentral describes it as "partial 16S ribosomal RNA". It matches the Rfam family "Bacterial small subunit ribosomal RNA", at positions 28 to 523 of the family's 1533-position model. The record is from RNAcentral.
GAUGAACGCUGGCGGCGUGCCUAAUACAUGCAAGUCGAGCGAAUGGAUUAAGAGCUCGCUCUUAUGAAGUUAGCGGCGGACGGGUGAGUAACACGUGGGUAACCUGCCCAUAAGACUGGGAUAACUCCGGGAAACCGGGGCUAAUACCGGAUAAUAUUUUGAACUGCAUGGUUCAAAAUUGAAAGGCGGCUUCGGCUGUCACUUAUGGACGGACCCGCGUCGCAUUAGCUAGUUGGUGAGGUAACGGCUCACCAAGGCAACGAUGCGUAGCCGACCUGAGAGGGUGAUCGGCCACACUGGGACUGAGACACGGCCCAGACUCCUACGGGAGGCAGCAGUAGGGAAUCUUCCGCAAUGGACGAAAGUCUGACGGAGCAACGCCGCGUGAGUGAUGAAGGCUUUCGGGUCGUAAAACUCUGUUGUUAGGGAAGAACAAGUGCUAGUUGAAUAAGCUGGCACCUUGACGGUACCUAACCAGAAAGCCACGGCUAACUACGUGCCAGCCGCCGCCGUAA